RNAcentral lists this non-coding RNA (150 nucleotides) under Gorilla gorilla gorilla (western lowland gorilla). Lineage: Eukaryota; Metazoa; Chordata; Mammalia; Primates; Hominidae. The record is from Rfam by way of RNAcentral.
GCUGGGCAUGGUGGCAUGUGCCUGUAAUCCCAGCUACUUGGGAGGCUGAGGCAGGAGAAUCACUUGAACCAGGGAGUCGGAGGUUGCAGUGAGGUGCCGAGAUGGCACCACUGCACUCCAGCCUGGUGACAGAGUGAGACUCUGCCUCAA